This 715-nucleotide long non-coding RNA is filed under the name Salmo salar (Atlantic salmon). Its description in RNAcentral is "lncRNA (ENSSSAG00000105952.1)". Lineage: Eukaryota; Metazoa; Chordata; Actinopteri; Salmoniformes; Salmonidae. The record is from RNAcentral.
CAGGCUUGGGCAGUGGCUAUGGUAAAGAGCAAAGGAAGCCACUACAGAUAUAUUCAAUAGGCUACAUCUGUCAGUACAAACUUUGAUUGAGGAAAUUAUGACGUCAUUUACAUUUUUAUUUUAGACUGCCUCACCCAAAACAAAUAACACCACACAUCUGUCUGUCUGUCUGCGACCGACCAACCGACCGACCGACCGACCAGAAUCUUUGAUGAGGGGCCAAGAGCUGAUUUACACUGCUAUGCCCAUCAAUGGGGCUCUGGCAAAGACUUCCAGCCUUACCUCUUGCCUGCUCACCAACGGACGUCGAUAGGGAGAACAGAAUUAGAUGCAUGAGAUAUCAUAGACCUGGCACUCAACACAUCCACAACGAGAUGGACUGGAGAUGCUUUUGCCAGAUGGCAGCCUUAGUCAUUUGAUGGGGAGACCAUCAUUGAAAACAUGUCUGGAGCCAGAACAUGGAGACUUGUGAUGACGUCCAGACUGACAGACGGGCUUGAUACUGUCUCUGAAUGGAGAGAAAAAAAAAUACUACACACAACUUUUACUUGGAUUGUCUUUUUGAUUAUUCGAUUGAAUGGUAUCAGUCAAUAUGGGGAGGGAGUAACCCUGUGUAUUCUGCACCAGGAUCAGAGAACUCCUGUUAUAUAUGGGACACCACACAGGAAGACAUGACCACUCUGACAUGUUACCAAGGUAGCCCCAUUACCACCAG